Molecule: ribosomal RNA, 403 nt
Filed under: bacterium
Lineage: Bacteria
Description: partial 16S ribosomal RNA
Rfam family: Bacterial small subunit ribosomal RNA
Source: RNAcentral
UGGAGCACCUUUCACACUGGGGGCCCCCCUGCUGCCGCGACGCCGCGUGAACGAAGAAGGUAUUCGUAUCGUAAAGUUCUGUCCUAUGGGAAGAUAAUGACAGUACCAUAGAAGAAAGCUCCGGCUAAAUACGUGCCAGCAGCCGCGGUAAUACGUAUGGAGCGAGCGUUGUCCGGAAUUAUUGGGCGUAAAGGGUACGCAGGCGGUUUAAUAAGUCGAAUGUUAAAGAUCGGGGCUCAACCCCGCAAAGCAUUGGAAACUGAUAAACUUGAGUAGUGGAGAGGAAAGUGGAAUUCCUAGUGUAGUGGUGAAGUACGUAGAUAUUAGGAGGAAUACCAGUAGCGAAGGCGACUUUCUGGACACAAACUGACGCUGAGGUACGAAAGCGUGGGGAGCAAACAGG